CACUGAAUGCAUGCUUACCGGCAGCACUCUUUUCACAACGGAGGCGCCAUUGCAAUUUAAAUCAUCAAACAGUCUGGCAACUCAAUAUCUUUUCAAAUAAAGUCCACUAAUUAGGAUGAUAAAAUGCUUUGGAAAUUGUUUUUAUAAUUGGCUGGGCGAAAUAAACCAAGACGUGCAGCAAUUUAUGCCAACAACAACACUUCGGAGACACAUUGUCCCUUUGAAGGCGCCAUUUUUAAACG
Molecule: long non-coding RNA, 242 nt
Organism: Drosophila innubila
Lineage: Eukaryota; Metazoa; Arthropoda; Insecta; Diptera; Drosophilidae
Exons: 2
Source: RefSeq, a predicted model, not a curated record